Molecule: long non-coding RNA, 362 nt
Filed under: Geospiza fortis (medium ground-finch)
Lineage: Eukaryota; Metazoa; Chordata; Aves; Passeriformes; Thraupidae
Description: lncRNA (ENSGFOG00000012896.1)
Source: RNAcentral
GGGGGAAGGGCCCCCCGGGGGCUCCGAGUACGAGAGGAGCAGAGCCCCGGGCGUGAGGAGAAGGGAGAAAACCCCCACCCACGGAGAUUUGAGGCCAGUUUCGAUGCCUACUGAGUACAGCUGGAUUGGGGAGCCCAAAGAACAGAACAUGUACAAGAGGGGAAGCAGAGACUCUGAGAACUCGCUGCUGCGCUACCUGAGCGACGACAAGAUCCUGGUGAUCCAGGAGGAGCCCCUGGCGCAGAAGGACAGCAAAAGGGACACGGCCAGGAGGUCCAGGAGGAAGGGCAAAGGGCCAGGGACCCCUGGCUUCCCCAUCAGCCCCUCGGUGCUGGCCUCCACCAUGAGCAUCAGGAUGGAGC